Limanda limanda (common dab) is the source of this 191-nucleotide long non-coding RNA. RefSeq lists it as uncharacterized. Lineage: Eukaryota; Metazoa; Chordata; Actinopteri; Pleuronectiformes; Pleuronectidae. The transcript has 3 exons. The record is from RefSeq and is a predicted model, not a curated record.
UGUGUCCCCCCUAACAAAGCCUUUUGUUUUCAAACAGCAGAAGAAAAAGACAACACAGAAAACACACGGAUUGUCAACAAGCGAUCAGUGUCAUGCUCCAUCACAGAAACCAACAGACAAGGUCACUACCCAAAUCCAAUCAGACAUGACAGGCCAUCAUGAGGAGGAUAUAAAGGGAAGUAUUGUUCAAA